This 512-nucleotide ribosomal RNA is filed under the name Ferrimonas sp. 2S4(2010). RNAcentral's name for it is "bacterial SSU rRNA". It matches the Rfam family "Bacterial small subunit ribosomal RNA", at positions 14 to 503 of the family's 1533-position model. The record is from RNAcentral. Lineage: Bacteria; Pseudomonadati; Pseudomonadota; Gammaproteobacteria; Alteromonadales; Ferrimonadaceae.
UGAUCCUGGCUCAGAUUGAACGCUGGCGGCAGGCCUAACACAUGCAAGUCGAGCGGAAACGACUUAACUGAACCUUCGGGGGACGUUAAGGGCGUCGAGCGGCGGACGGGUGAGUAAUGCUUAGGAAUUUGCCCAGUCGAGGGGGAUAACCAUUGGAAACGAUGGCUAAUACCGCAUACGCCCUACGGGGGAAAGAGGGGGAUGCUUCGGCACCUUUCGCGAUUGGAUAAGCCUAAGUGAGAUUAGCUAGUUGGUGAGGUAAAGGCUCACCAAGGCGACGAUCUCUAGCUGGUUUGAGAGGAUGAUCAGCCACACUGGAACUGAGACACGGUCCAGACUCCUACGGGAGGCAGCAGUGGGGAAUAUUGCACAAUGGGCGCAAGCCUGAUGCAGCCAUGCCGCGUGUAUGAAGAAGGCCUUCGGGUUGUAAAGUACUUUCAGCGAGGAGGAAAGGGUGUGAGUUAAUACCUUACAUCUGUGACGUUACUCGCAGAAGAAGCACCGGCUAACUC